Molecule: non-coding RNA, 852 nt
Organism: Lolium perenne
Lineage: Eukaryota; Viridiplantae; Streptophyta; Magnoliopsida; Poales; Poaceae
Source: RefSeq, a predicted model, not a curated record
UUAAAUUGUGCCUUGACCGGAGAAAGUAUCAAUGGUGGUCUAAUCACGAAACAGAGUCAGAAGAAAGAUCUUGGUUCCAUUUUGUUUUGUUCUUUGCAGUCGUAAUCAGCACAAAGAAGAAAGUGGAAAGGCGCGCAUGCGAGGAAAGAAACAAACAGUUGGUGAAGAUUUGAAGGAACAGGAAAGGCCGCCAUUCGAAAAAGGAACAGUUGAUGAAGAUUUGAAGGAACAGGAAAAGGCGCGCAUGUGAGAAAGAAACAGUUGGUGAAGAUUUGUGAAGAUAAUAUGGGGAUAUGAUACACGCCUAGAUCACACCAAAAGGCAUUUUUUGAUCUAGAACAAUCAUCAUUUGAGAAAAUAAAAAUCUUGAGCAUGAGCAGUCGUCGCUGUUAGCGUGCAGACAAGGCAAAGUGGAGGGCAAGAAGAAGUUCAGUUUUCUAGCUUAAUGGACAGGGUGGGUGGGUGGGUGGAUGAUCUGUGCUCUCCUCCAUCCUCUUGACCUGAGGCGUUUACUUGCCCUUAUGACGCAAGCUUUGCCUGAUGUUUACAUCUGAUGCUAUUUUCCAUUCUCCCUGGCUCCACUGGCGCACUAUUAUGGACCAUGGACCGUGACGCUUUGGGGCCACCUUCUGAAUUCUGAAGCGGUUCAAGUAAAGUGGUGUAGCGUGUGAGGGCUGGCAGUGGCCCUUUUUUGUCUGAUGCUUGUAUGAUGUUAUGUUUCUUUGAAUGAUGUUUUUUUGAUGCUCGUUAGUGGGUGUAGAUGUACACUCUAGUUUCUUUCCCGUUGUUGCAGGAUCCCGUCUCUAAAUUGUGUACAGGUGGCUACUAAUAUUCAUUAUCUGAUUUCGUUUC